AAAUUGAAGAGUUUGAUCAUGGCUCAGAUUGAACGCUGGCGGCAGGCCUAACACAUGCAAGUCGAACGGUAACAGGAAGCAGCUUGCUGUUUCGCUGACGAGUGGCGGACGGGUGAGUAAUGUCUGGGAAACUGCCUGAUGGAGGGGGAUAACUACUGGAAACGGUAGCUAAUACCGCAUAACGUCGCAAGACCAAAGAGGGGGACCUUCGG
This 212-nucleotide ribosomal RNA is filed under the name Escherichia coli. RNAcentral's name for it is "partial 16S ribosomal RNA". It matches the Rfam family "Bacterial small subunit ribosomal RNA", at positions 1 to 218 of the family's 1533-position model. RNAcentral also lists the same sequence under 1 other name. Lineage: Bacteria; Pseudomonadati; Pseudomonadota; Gammaproteobacteria; Enterobacterales; Enterobacteriaceae. The record is from RNAcentral.